CCUCAAACUGUCCCCUGGGUCUUUCGGGGCCGUUCUGUGGGGGACCAUGGUGCUACAUGAAACAGUACAAAAACUACACUGAACUACGUAAAAACAACACAGAAAAAAACUACACUGGACUCAGAUCUACCCAAGACUGCAUAAAGUGCACAAAAUAGUGCAGGUUCUCUCUGUUGCAACAUUACAUAGUACAUGAACUGUUCACAACCAGGUUUUAAAGGAACAUGCCACUGCCCAAGCAACAUUUUGCCAAUACAACAGAGUGUUGCUAGUGAGUCAGUGGAUUUGGAAGAAUGAGUACGCCUAGAGCGAGCAGAGAAACUGAACACAUCUCAGAAGAGCAGUGUCAACAUGAGGACCAGAGAAACCAUGGAAGAUCACAGAAGCCAAUAAACAGGUGCUGUUGGUGGAAGGUUGUCAGGGGAUGCCUCUGUAAAGAAUAUGCCUGUAGUUGAUGACCACACACACACGGAAAAGCCAGAAAAAUCCAAUGAUUGUUCAGCCCACAUCUGUGAGGUGAAUGUAAUCAAAUCUAAUCAUUAUGGUUUUAUGAAUGGUAAAUCGUGUUUGACAAACUUAAGGAUGUAAGAGGUAAUAGAGGGGAACCCAUAAAUAUAAAAUAUUUAGAUUUCCAAAUGGUAUUUGACAAGUGCAUGAUGGACUAUUUCAGUGUUGCACUGUAAACGGUGAUUUGGAUUGAAUCCUUUUCAGGCUGGAUGUACUGUAACCUGCAGAAUAUGCAGGGUUGAGUCUUGGCCCUCAAUUGUUUACUAUUGACAUUAAUGACCUGGAAGAAGAAAUGAAAUGCAAGGUUUCCAAGUUAACCAAUGGUACAAAAAUAGGUGGUGUUGAGGACAUUGUUUUUCUGCAUAGUUGGAGUGAUUGGGUGAAAAUCUGACAAAUGACAUUUAAUGUGGAGAAGUGUGAGACCAAUGAACUUCAGUAAGAAAAGUCAAAAGGCAGAUUACUACCUUGAGCAGAGAUUCCCACCCUUUUUUAUGCAAUGGACCCCCACCAUAGACCCUAGGUCUGGAUACCCCCGGGAAAGAAUGGAAGUGGUAAAGUACCGAGUGAUCUAGAUGUAUAAAUCACAACAGGUUAGCAGGCAGAUUCAGCCAGCAGUUAAGAAGACAAAUGGGAACUUGGCUCUUAUUGCAAAGGGAUUGGAGUUUAAAAUUAGGGAGAUUUUGUCACAGUUGUAUAGGUAUUGGUGAGUCCUCACCUGGAACACUAUGCUGGUUUUUGUCACCUUGUACCAAAGGAUGUUAUCCAAAAGAGAUUUACUAUGCAAACAAGACUAGAGAGUUUGGAUCUGUAUUCCUUGGAGUUUAGAUAAAUGAGGGGUUACCUUGUUUGAGUAUACGAGGUCCUAAGUGUGCAUUACUGUGAUAUUCUGGUGCUGCUGCAACUUAUUUUCUGUGACUUAUCUAUUUAAUACUGUUUUUCUAUUACUGUCUUGUUUUUAUCUACUGCUUUGUUUGAUUGCCUGAGAGGAAGCCAAACAGAGUUUCAUUGUACCUGUUUCAAUUCAAUUCAAAAGUGUACUUGACAUGGCAGAUGCAGUGAUGUUCUCAACAGAUGGAGAGUCACAGACAACAGGAUAUAGUUACAAAAUGUGGGCUGGUCAUUUAAAACCUGUUUUAUCAGAGGACAGUGAAUCUGUGGAAUACUCUGCCCUUGAGGAUGAUGGGGGCUACACCAUGAGAUAUUUUUAAGGUGAAGAUAGAGAAAAGAAAGAUUGAGGAAUUGAAGGUUGAUAGCAGCAUAGAUCAAACAUAAUCAUAUUACAUUGUGGGGCUGGAUUGAGGAGCUGGGUAACCUAAUCCUGCUCCUUUUUUCCCAGAGUUUUUAAUGAGGACAAAUCUCCUCUCCUUGAGUAUGGAGAGUGAGUGUCUUUCCCCAGCGUGGCAGUGGAAAGCACACUGUCCACACACAUCCCCACUUUUCACCCUGACAUGGAGAGAGUUUAGUGAUGAAGCAGCUGUCAGUUGAAUAGGGAUACAUCAUUGAGAAACUCCACUAAAAAUGGUUGAGAUGAUUUAUUCCAACAGUUAUAACCAGCUUCAUUUCUGACAAUAAAGACGUUUGUUGGAAAAGGGUUCUCUGAUUUUGAUUGCACUUGCAUCUUCUAUUUCAAUCAUGGAACCAUUUGUGCUACCUCUCAAAAUUCUGGCAUAACUUGAAUGUCUUUGUUAAUGGCUCAAAGUGAAGACAAUGGGUAACAGUGUCAGAAUGAAGGAUCCAACCUUUUAUUGGAUCCAAUCCCAGUAACAAAUGGUUAUCAUCUUAUUAAAAUCUCCUAUGUUUUGUGAAGUAAUCC
Hypanus sabinus (Atlantic stingray) is the source of this 2320-nucleotide long non-coding RNA. RefSeq lists it as uncharacterized. NCBI's taxonomy places the organism in Eukaryota, Metazoa, Chordata, Chondrichthyes, Myliobatiformes, Dasyatidae. The transcript is spliced from 3 exons. The record is from RefSeq and is a predicted model, not a curated record.